UACGUAGGGUGCGAGCGUUAAUCGGAAUUACUGGGCGUAAAGAGCGCGCAGGCGGUCGUACAAGUCGCGUGUGAAAGCCCCCGGCUCAACUGGGGAGGGUCACGCGAUACUGUUCGACUCGAAGGCAGGAGAGGGAAGUGGAAUUCCCGGUGUAGUGGUGAAAUGCGUAGAUAUCGGGAGGAACACCAGUGGCGAAGGCGACUUCCUGGCCUGUUCUUGACGCUGAGGCGCGAAAGCUAGGGUAGCAAACGGG
This 253-nucleotide ribosomal RNA is filed under the name uncultured bacterium. RNAcentral's name for it is "partial 16S ribosomal RNA". It matches the Rfam family "Bacterial small subunit ribosomal RNA", at positions 524 to 776 of the family's 1533-position model. The record is from RNAcentral.